AUACGGAGGGUGCAAGCGUUGUCCGGAUUUAUUGGGUUUAAAGGGUGCGUAGGUGGUUUUUUAAGUCAGUGGUGAAAGCCUACAGCUUAACUGUAGAUGCGCCAUUGAAACUGGGGAACUUGAGUAUGGACGAGGUAGGCGGAAUUUGUGGUGUAGCGGUGAAAUGCAUAGAUACCACAAAGAACACCGAUAGCGAAGGCAGCUUACUAGGCCAUAACUGACGCUGAGGCACGAAAGCGUGGGGAGCGAACAGGAUUAGAAACCCCGGUAGUCC
RNAcentral lists this ribosomal RNA (274 nucleotides) under uncultured bacterium. Its description in RNAcentral is "partial 16S ribosomal RNA". It matches the Rfam family "Bacterial small subunit ribosomal RNA", at positions 523 to 796 of the family's 1533-position model. The record is from RNAcentral.